This is a long non-coding RNA of Bos taurus (domestic cattle), 289 nucleotides long. The record is from Ensembl. Lineage: Eukaryota; Metazoa; Chordata; Mammalia; Artiodactyla; Bovidae.
CUCUGUGCUAUCAGGGAGGCAGGCUGUGGAGAGGAGAGGCUGGAUGUGGUCAACACUGGAAAGAAGCUUUCAGGGAGACAACGCCAGGACCCUGCAGGAGAGGUGAGAACACAGAGACUCAAAGAAGUCAGCCAACUUUCCCAAGGCCUGAGUGCCCUAAGUGACUGAUCAAAGAUUGGAGACAAGCCGAGCUCCUUGCUACCUGGCCAAGGAGAAAUCAUGGAGCAGACUGGUUUUCAUACUGUGGGUUGUAAACAAUUUAUGGGUCAUGAAGAGUAUUCAGAGGUUA